GGCGUUAUAAUUUAUUAAUAAAAUAGUACUUUGCAAGAGUAAAAAUACUUUUAGUUGACGCUU
This 63-nucleotide transfer RNA is filed under the name Altiverruca navicula. Its description in RNAcentral is "tRNA-Cys". The record is from RNAcentral. Lineage: Eukaryota; Metazoa; Arthropoda; Thecostraca; Verrucomorpha; Verrucidae.